This 227-nucleotide long non-coding RNA is filed under the name Chinchilla lanigera (long-tailed chinchilla). RNAcentral's name for it is "lncRNA (ENSCLAG00000026353.1)". The record is from RNAcentral. Lineage: Eukaryota; Metazoa; Chordata; Mammalia; Rodentia; Chinchillidae.
CCUAGGGGUGCUGUUAUGUCGAGUGCAAGACUCUAACGGUGAUGCUCUCAGCCAGCAUGAGGGGGUGGUGAGAGCCAGUGGCUCCCACAUCCCAUGUGCUUAGGGACCCCCGGAGGGCCACACCUUAUAUUUUUGAAUCAGAGUGAUGAGCAAAAUAAUGGAGUAAGCCUUCAUCUCCCGGACCUGUCUGUUUCUGGAUAGAGGUUCACUGCUAUGGAACAAAUCGC